This is a long non-coding RNA of Heterocephalus glaber (naked mole-rat), 2512 nucleotides long. The record is from Ensembl. Lineage: Eukaryota; Metazoa; Chordata; Mammalia; Rodentia; Bathyergidae.
CUCUUAACAGUCACUAAACAUGUGAAAGCCUACUUACAUUUAUAAAGGCAAAAAGAAAGAUCAUGAUUCUCUAAUAGGGAACAUGAAUCCCCAAAUAAAUUAUCUUACAAAAAUAUCAAAAUUGCUUUCCCCCUUGUCUACUACUGGUAAAUAUGAAAAGAAAAUUCACACUGUAAAAAUCUGUAGGCUGAUAUAGUAAGUUAAGGCCAUUAUUUUUGCAUAUUAAAUAAGUCCUUCAAAUAAAUAUUUUACACAAAUUUAAGUUUAAAAAAACAGGUUAGGUUUCACCCUAUAUUUCUUUGGUCCACUAAAAGACCAUUUUAUCAACUGACAUUAAACUGGACAACAGCUCACACCAUGAACAACACACACACCACUGAGACCGCACGUGUGCAAUGGCUAACACUGCUGCAUCCUGAGGAGUUUCACCCUGCACAAACCCUCAAGCCUAUCCGGAAUCAAGCUGCAGGGAAAGAGCAAAAGAUAUUAAUACCUACUACAGAAAUGUGCAGGCAUCGUGAAAAAAUGCAGAAAGGAUAAGUCUUCCAGACAUAAAGAUUACUGAACAUGGGUAAAACUCAAGACUGCUUCCAAAUACCUGAACUUGGAAUGCAGUCAGCACACUCGUGGAGGACACAGGAAUGAACACGUGACAGAACUCUGGCUUCUGUGGGGUAUAUUCCUGUUGUUUUAUUCCAAAGUUUUAUGUGAACUUCAAUCCUGGUGGAGAUUUAAUAAAAUACCAGUACAUUAAGUUCUUCUAUUCUAACAACCAAAUGUAAGAAAAACUACCAUAGAGGGAUAUAGGACUUUUUUGUAUCUUCCUAGACUUUUAAAGCUAAUUUGAUUUUCAUUAUAAUGAUAUUUUAAUUAACAAUAUGCUAAAAACAAAAUCGACAGAAUUACUUUUUGUCCACACUGUUCAAUUCUCUUAUUGCUAAAAUACUGUAUUACAAAAUGAAUCCAGUGAACAUCUUCAAUUUCAAAAGGCCUGAGAGGUGAAUUCAACUUUUCUUUAAUCUAGGCUGAGGACAGCGAUGGUAACUUUGCAAAUUGAAGCUUUCCAUCCAGGAUAGAAAAAACGAGCAUCCAAAGUAGAGAGAACCACAAAACCACUUCUCUUGUUAUUCGAGCUAGUAGCUACUCAGAGCUUAAAGUUUCCGUCUUCAUUAUUAUUGGCGGUUCCAAAAGUCACAGUUUCGAUGUCAAACGUGACAGUAGAUCCAGAAGUAACUGCAGGCAACUGGUUGGUCAUUUCUUUUCCAUUUACAAAAACUGCACCAUUGGUACUGAUUCACACUGCCUGGUCCCGCUGCAGAGAGCCGCAUCCGCGCUGGUUCUCUGCACACACUCUGAUACUGCCUCUGCGGUCUGGCUGCCCCACAGUUUCAACCCUGAAUGUUAAUGUCUGCGCACAGAAAUAGGUCGGAGCUUUGGAGUAGAGAACACCCGAGGAUUCAGAAUCAUUCCGAAGAGCUAUGUUUCUUUGACUGCUCAGACUGUACUCCUCAAAGCCAGUUGUCCACUCAUGAGGCCCCAGUGUGGAGUGACCUAUCUGGGGGACGCUCCAAGGACUCCACUCCUGUCGCCCGUAUCCUCGAGCGUAGACUCUGAACUGAUAAUCAACAAACAUCGGGGUCUAUGUGUAGUACAAUGAAUUCAGUUUCAGAUCCUACGUAUUGGUCUUCAAAAUGAUUUGAAGUGCAUUUACGGAACUGAAGCCUGUAAUCUUGGGCUGCAAAGUCGUCGUCCACCUUACACCAUCGCACGAUGAUGCCCCCAGGCCUCUCUAUCAGCUCUUCUAUCUGUUCUGGUGAACGGAAUGCUACAGCCACAUGCUUAAAAAUGUGGUCUUUCACUAUGUUCAAAAUGGAAUCAUCCAACUGAGCAGAUAAGCAAGGCGCAUCAACCAGCACAGGCACUUCCGGGUCACAUGAUAGCAUCCUGUGAUGCCUGUGGGGUUAUAAAGCUAUGGGACUUUCGGAAGCUUUUACCAGUUGUGUCCAUUGAUGUAGGUCCAAGUCCUGGCGAUGAGGUGAAUUUUGAUUCAUCAGCCCUCCGUUCAACCCCUGGAGAAAUCCCAGCAAAGAAAACAAAAAGAACAAGAAAUUACUGAGGCAAUAAAGAAAAAAGAAAGCGAGGUUGAAAAGGUACCACAGAAGAAGUCCAUUGAUCCUGCCUUGUCAAUGCUGAUUACAUCUGUAAAAAAACAAAACAGAACAGUUUCAAGCAAGAAAAAAACAAAGAGUCAAAUAAGUGGAUAUUAUUUCUUUUUGCAUUGAUAAUGUAUUCUAAAGCAUACAGAAACAGUAGAGGAGAUACUGGGAAUAAAGUCACCUUUUCACAUAAAAAAAUCUUUUUCUGACCAUAGUAAGAUUCCUUUACAUGUAUACUUGUACUUAAUUGUGGCUGAUUGAUAGAGUUGUACUGUAUAUUUCCACAGAUCUAUCAUAGUUAAAUUACCUGAAUUACAAAAAAAAAAAAAGAAGGAAAAAAGAUGUUCAUAGCUGAU